This 467-nucleotide ribosomal RNA is filed under the name uncultured bacterium. RNAcentral's name for it is "partial 16S ribosomal RNA". It matches the Rfam family "Bacterial small subunit ribosomal RNA", at positions 28 to 507 of the family's 1533-position model. The record is from RNAcentral.
GAUGAACGCUGGCGGCGCGCCUAACACAUGCAAGUCGAACGAUUAAAGCACCUUCGGGUGUGUAUAAAGUGGCGAGCGGCUGAGUAACACGUGGGCAACCUGCCCCUUUCAUUGGGAUAGCCACGGGAAACCGUGGAUAAUACCGAAUACUUCGAGACUUCCGCAUGGAAGACUCGAGAAAGCUCCGGCGGAGAGGGAUGGGCCCGCGGCCUGUUAGCUUGUUGGUGGGGUAACGGCCUACCAAGGCAAUGAUGGGUAGCUGGGUUGAGAGACCGACCAGCCAGAUUGGGACUGAGACACGGCCCAGACUCCUACGGGAGGCAGCAGUGGGGAAUCUUGCACAAUGGGCGAAAGCCUGAUGCAGCGACGCCGCGUGCGGGAUGAAGGCCUUCGGGUUGUAAACCGCUUUCAGCAGGGACGAGGCGAAAGUGACGGUACCUGCAGAAGAAGCCCCGGCUAACUACGUG